Molecule: ribosomal RNA, 254 nt
Filed under: uncultured bacterium
Lineage: Bacteria
Description: partial 16S ribosomal RNA
Rfam family: Bacterial small subunit ribosomal RNA
Source: RNAcentral
UACGGAGGGUGCGAGCGUUGUCCGGAACCAUUGGGCGUAAAGGGCGCGUAGGUGGCCCGGUCAGUUCGUGGUGAAAGCGCGGGGCUCAACCCUGCGUCGGCCAUGAAUACUGCCGCGGCUGGAGCACUGUAGAGGCAGGCGGAAUUCCGGGUGUAGCGGUGGAAUGCGUAGAGAUCCGGAAGAACACCGGUGGCGAAGGCGGCCUGCUGGGCAGUUGCUGACACUGAGGCGCGACAGCGUGGGGAGCAAACAGG